CCUACGGGAGGCAGCAGUGAGGAAUAUUGGUCAAUGGACGAGAGUCUGAACCAGCCAAGUAGCGUGAAGGAUGAAUGCCCUGUGGGUUGUAAACUUCUUUUAUAUGGGAAUAAAAUGUGCCACGUGUGGGAGUUUGUAUGUACCAUAUGAAUAAGGAUCGGCUAACUCCGUGCCAGCAGCCGCGGUAAUACGGAGGAUCCGAGCGUUAUCCGGAUUUAUUGGGUUUAAAGGGAGCGUAGGUGGAUUGUUAAGUCAGUUGUGAAAGUUUGCGGCUCAACCGUAACAUUGCAGUUGAAACUGGCAGUCUUGAGUACGAUAGAGGUAGGCGGAAUUCGGGGUGUAGCGGUGAAAUGCUUAGAUAUCACGCAGAACUCCGAUUGCGAAGGCAGCUCACUGGACUCCAACUGACGCUGAGGCACGAAAGUGUGGGUAUCGAACAGGAUUAGAUACCCUUGUAGUC
This 460-nucleotide ribosomal RNA is filed under the name uncultured bacterium. Its description in RNAcentral is "partial 16S ribosomal RNA". It matches the Rfam family "Bacterial small subunit ribosomal RNA", at positions 338 to 795 of the family's 1533-position model. The record is from RNAcentral.